Molecule: unclassified non-coding RNA, 348 nt
Filed under: fungal sp.
Lineage: Eukaryota; Fungi
Description: partial internal transcribed spacer region
Rfam family: Eukaryotic small subunit ribosomal RNA (bases 1-46)
Source: RNAcentral
AAGUCGUAACAAGGUUUCCGUAGGUGAACCUGCGGAAGGAUCAUUAACACGUAUCCAACGUUAAAACCCCCCCGUGAACCUUCAGUGUGCUCGUACGCUUUGUUAGAAAGUAGCAACCCCUGGUAAAUCAUCGCCGAACAGUUUUGAUUCAGGGACUUCUGCGAAGAGCGUGCUUGUAGCGCGAGGCAAGUGGCUGGCAUCCUUGUCUGAAAGUGUCAAGGGUGGCGCAGUCGAUCGCUAGAGGCCGACACGGCCGGCGACCGGGUCACCGGGCUCACGCCCCUUAACGGGCCUGCACUUAAUUGUGCGGCCAUAAACCGAACAACUGUUAAAUGGAUAUCUUGGUUC